RNAcentral lists this ribosomal RNA (332 nucleotides) under uncultured bacterium. RNAcentral describes it as "partial 16S ribosomal RNA". It matches the Rfam family "Bacterial small subunit ribosomal RNA", at positions 338 to 668 of the family's 1533-position model. The record is from RNAcentral.
CCUACGGGCGGCAGCAGUGAGGAAUAUUUGUCAAUGGGCUGGAGCCUGAACCAGCCAAGCCGCGUGAAGGAAGAAGUCGCCAGGCGUCGUAAACUUCUUUUGUCGGGGAACAAAGGGCGCCACGCGUGGCGUUGUGAGUGUACCCGAAGAAAAAGCAGCGGCAAACUCCGUGCCAGCAGCCGCGGUAAUACGGAGGAUGCGAGCGGUAUCCGGAUUUAUUGGGUUUAAGGGGUGCGUAGGCUGAACGGAAAUUCAGCGGGAAAAGCCCGGGGCUAAACCCCGGCCAGCCGUUGAACCUGUCGAACUAGAGACGGCGAGAAGUACGCGGAAUG